Peptococcaceae bacterium CEB3 is the source of this 100-nucleotide regulatory RNA element. It matches the Rfam family "Pyrrolysine insertion sequence mttB". NCBI's taxonomy places the organism in Bacteria, Bacillati, Bacillota, Clostridia, Eubacteriales, Peptococcaceae. The record is from Rfam.
GUCAGCGAGUCGAAGAUCCCAGAUGUUCAAUCAGGUUAUGAAAAAAUGAGCACGUCAAUGCUGGCGGCAUUAGCUGGCGCUAACUACAUUCACGAUGCGG